CCCGCAAGGGUGAGUAAAGUGGCGUACGGGUGAGUAACACGUGGAUAAUCUGCCUUUUUGUGGGGGAUAACCUGGGGAAACCUGGGCUAAUACCGCAUAAGCUCGUAAGAGGAAAGCUGAAAGGCGCAGAAAGAGGAGUCCGCGGUCGAUUAGCUAGUUGGUAGGGUAAAAGCCUACCAAGGCAACGAUCGAUAGCCGGCCUGAGAGGGCACACGGCCACACUGGCACUGAAACACGGGCCAG
RNAcentral lists this ribosomal RNA (243 nucleotides) under uncultured bacterium. Its description in RNAcentral is "partial 16S ribosomal RNA". It matches the Rfam family "Bacterial small subunit ribosomal RNA", at positions 76 to 334 of the family's 1533-position model. The record is from RNAcentral.